Molecule: ribosomal RNA, 301 nt
Filed under: uncultured bacterium
Lineage: Bacteria
Description: partial 16S ribosomal RNA
Rfam family: Bacterial small subunit ribosomal RNA
Source: RNAcentral
CAGCCGCCACGGGAACACGUAGGGUGCAAGCGUUAAUCGGAAUUACUGGGCGUAAAGCGUGCGCAGGCGGUUUGUUAAGACAGAUGUGAAAUCCCCGGGCUCAACCUGGGAACUGCAUUUGUGACUGGCAAGCUAGAGUCUGGCAGAGGGGGGUGGAAUUCCGCGUGUAGCAGUGAAAUGCGUAGAUAUGCGGAGGAACACCGAUGGCGAAGGCAGCCCCCUGGGCCAACACUGACGCUCAUGCACGAAAGCGUGGGGAGCAAACAGGAUUAGAUACCCCUGUAGUCCCUGUCUCUUAUAC